GACACGUCCCUUUGUGCGUGCCUGGGGCUGCGCACAGCCUAGAGCGUAGCGUCCCAGCACUAUGAGCGGCUCGGGCGCAGCCGGGGCGGCCACGGGCCCUGCCCCGCCGGCGCAGGAGGAGGGCAUGACAUGGUGGUACCGCUGGCUGUGCCGCCUGGCGGGCGUGCUGGGGGCCGUGUCCUGUGCCAUCUCUGGACUCUUCAACUGUGUCACCAUCCACCCUCUGAAUAUUGCAGCUGGCGUGUGGAUGAUCAUGAAUGCCUUCGUCCUGCUGUUGUGCGAGGCACCCUUCUGCUGCCAGUUCGUGGAGUUUGCAAACACAGUAGCUGAGAAGGUGGACCGGCUGCGCUCCUGGCAGAAGGCUGUGUUCUACUGCGGGUGAGGGGCUGUUGGGCAGGGCCUAUGGCAUGGCUCCCCAAACUCUUACUGACUAAAGCAGGUAUUGGAGAGGUGGGCGGGGCAGGAACAGGUAGAGGCCUUUCUUUCCUGCAGGAGUUUCAUUGGAUAGCUGUGGACACAGCCACUGGCCCACCCAGUAACAGCUGCUAAAGAGCGGGACCCAGUGUUUGCCUGCCGGAGCUCAGCUGGCAGCUAUGGCCACACAAGUGUUCUAAGAUCUGUGGUGCUUGCAGCAGUGUGUGUGUGUGUGUAUGUGUGUGCGUGUGUGUGUGUGUGCGCGAGUGUGGGGAGAGGGGGCAGGGAAGCAGCUGGGAGUUGCCAGGUAGGUCAUAGUAGAUCUGUGUGGGCAUUAUGCAGCCUUGAAAGGAGUGUGACCAACCUAGAAGUUCAGACAUGAGAUUGAAGAACAGAAAACACCAUUUUCCUCUAAAUACGUUUUCUCCUUUUGGUUCUGACAAGUGUCAUAAGACUGCACCACUUCCGAGAUAAAUUGAAUACACAGAAGCUUAAGAGAAGGGCUUUUUUUUUUUUUUUUUUGCAUGAGAGGCCCAGCUAGGCAGUGAUAUUUAUCACAAUUUAUCUUUACGAUCAGGUUAGACCAAAGCUUGGUGAAGGCUCAGCGGCUUCGGCAGUGAGAAUAUACAAUGAGUGUGUGCUUGCUGGCGGUUUUCUGUUAUGUCUAAAUCUAAAGGGAUUGUAGGAUCACAAAGUUCUAAUCAGGCUAGCAUGAUGUUCUUUGGUUUGUGUGUGUAUGCACUCACGCACACACACACACGCACACACACACGCAUGCAUACCUAUAUGUAGGUGCACAUGUGUGCGGAUUUUUCUCAGUCACUUUUCUCUUGUUUUUAAGGAUAGGGUUACUCACUGAACCUGGAGCUCACAAAUUUGGCUCGACUGCCUGUCUCUACCUCACCAGCCCUGAAUACUUGGGUUUUUAUGGGGAUCCAAGCAGGGCCUCAUGCACAUGCAGCAGGCACUUUACCAACUAAGCUGUCUCCUCACCCCUUCGGUUUUUUCCCCACCCUUUGUAUUUGAGACCUGGCUGACCUUGAACUCACAGAGAUUCAUCUGUCUCUGCCUCCUGAGUGCUGGAAUUAAAGGCGUGAGUCAGCGUACCUGGCUUUCUUUGAGUUUUUAAGAUGUGUUGUCAUGAUAUUCACAGUAGUAUGUUUAGCAAAAGUCAUUUGUAAAGUAGAAAAUGGUCACUCCAGACCUCACUACCUAUUGUGUUUCCCCAGUCAAUCCAGACACUUUUGAAGCUCAUCUUUAACAUGGUUAUGACUGCUAAACAUGCUUAUAAAGGUUGAACCUGCUUUUUUGACUUGCUGUAGUAUUCAUAUUCAGUGUCAUCACAAAGACUAUGACCUUCCUUUUAAUGUUAAACACAUUUAUUCAGCUGGACAUAGUGCCUUUGUUUUAGUUUGUUAGCUGAUGUCAGUCAAGUCUGGUGAACAUCUGUCUGCCAAAACUACCAUGAUGACAUCCUUAGGAGAUGUUUCCAGGUGUGAAAUUACCAGGCCAAAGGCUAUGGUCAUUCAAAAGAUCUUAACAUAUGUGACUCAGUUUCUUUCCCAAGAGGCUAUCUGGGUGUCCCCCCUCCCCCACAGUGCUACUUUAAUGUUUAUAUUUAUUGUCUAGGAAGUAAAAUACCCUCCUGUAUAUUCUCAUUCAUUUUCUUUCUCAAAAGGUUUCUGGUCUCUGGUCCUGUUCUUUUGAGAGCUUUAAUGUUUGACUUUGCAGGCUGUGUGUUUUCAGUAUUAAAGACCUCAGAUUCCUAUGCUAUGUUUCCCAUUCUGGUUUUUCCAGCCUGUUUGCCUUUAGUGUUAAUGGUUUUCCUCGUGUGAUCUUUUUUCUCGAAAAAGUGGAGUCAAACCUGAGAUAAACUAUUAUUUUAUUAUAGAAAACCCUGAACUUAAGACGGGUUUCCGUUUUGAUAAAACAGAUAUCCUCUUGAAAACAUGGUAGCACACCUCACCUAGCAAACGCAGCUGUUACCAAGCUUCACCAUGCUUCAAGCCCUGACACUGGGCAUUGUGACUUGGUAUGGUGCCUCAUAAGGUGGCUUGGGACUCAGAACUCUAACCAAUGUCUGCUGAGUACCGCAAGCACAACCAUGGAUGGACCGUAGUCAACUAUAGUCAAGGACCCUCCACACUUUGAAGCACUUCUGCUAUAAUGAAAUCUACACCGGAAGUUCAAGGAGUGAAGUUGGCUUUGAGUGUGUGUCAUCUUCCUGCUCCGGGUGCCUCCUCUCCAGAAGUGGCUGGACUGAGGACUGGGCUGCAGGCUCCAGAACCUUCCUGAGUCAGCCUGUCUGGGACUCACCUCCUGUUGGAAAAUCCCAUCCCUCAAGCCUGAUCUGCAGAGUCUUAGGUGGAAUGGACCCACCACCAGGAUGGCCAUCGUUCCCAUCGUCAUGAGCCUGACCCUGACCACGCUGCUGGGCAACGCCAUCGCCUUUGCCACCGGGGUGCUGUACGGACUAUCU
This is a non-coding RNA of Myodes glareolus (Bank vole), 2893 nucleotides long. NCBI's taxonomy places the organism in Eukaryota, Metazoa, Chordata, Mammalia, Rodentia, Cricetidae. The record is from RefSeq and is a predicted model, not a curated record.